Molecule: long non-coding RNA, 988 nt
Organism: Salvia miltiorrhiza (redroot sage)
Lineage: Eukaryota; Viridiplantae; Streptophyta; Magnoliopsida; Lamiales; Lamiaceae
Exons: 3
Source: RefSeq, a predicted model, not a curated record
CAUGUAGUGGAACCAUCACAGGAUGGAAAAUGCCACAAAAGAAAUGAAUGAAAUGAAAGACUAGUAUCCCAAGCUAGAAUACCAGAUAUGUAAUUUCGAGGACGAAAUUUUUUUUAAGGAGGGAGGGAUGUAAUAUCCCGUUUCCUCGAGCUAAGUCUAGAAUAAUUUUUAAUUUAGAAUUUAUUUUAAACUUAGAAUUAAGAUGAUUCACGCCGGAUUGAGAAAAAAAUGAAUUUAUUUUAAUUCCAACAAAGACGAUUUACAAAAAUAUAUUUUGUAAAUUUAGUUAUUAAAUUUAUGUGCGUCGCAUAUUUAUUUAAUUUAGCAUUCAAGCAUUUUCAUGAGCUAUUUAUUUAAGCAAACACUGAACGAUUAUUACAGUUUUCAUAGUACAACCCGGAAGAUUUUUAUUUUAUUUUAUUUUACUCCACUACACCCACUACCCACUACACCUACUCCUACACAGCAAUACAUUCGUCCACUCCUCUCUGUCUGCCAUAUCUCAAUUAUUCUCGCAAGGAAGAAAUUCAAUGCACAUCUCUAUCUCCAGAAGUUCAACAACAUCAUAUUCACUAACCAUUCGUCUCUACACAGAACACUAUAAGGCUUUGUGACCAGGGGGAUUAGCGCUGCUUUCCCAAGACAGGUUUAUAUGUGAUUAUGAUCUUCAGGCUUUGCCUAUCCAGGUUGGCUGGCUGGUGCUGACGGGACGGAGCUGAGGCUCGAGAUAAAUUCCUAUGUUAGACUUCCGCUGUAGCAAUUACUUAUAUCAGUCUUUUGUUUUCCCAACUUAAGAUCUUCAUGUUAAAUUUCAAAUGAUAUAUCUGACCGAGCUUAGACUCUUCACUACUAAAUUUAUGCCAAUGAAUGUCGGUUGUCAGAAGCAUGAAACAAAACUUGUGAUCCAAAGGGGCAUAGCCCGACUUUCUAUCCUAUUUCGGGUUUUUUUUUUUACAAGGUUGUUCCUUGUUUAUUUCUAUGAAUUAGU